GGCCUCGUAGCUCAGCCCGUAGAGCAUGCGCGUACAAAGCGUAGGCGGUGUCCAUGCGUGGGUUCCAAUCCCAUCGAGGCUA
Molecule: non-coding RNA, 82 nt
Organism: Echinostoma caproni
Lineage: Eukaryota; Metazoa; Platyhelminthes; Trematoda; Plagiorchiida; Echinostomatidae
Source: Rfam